GUAGGUGGCAAGCGUUGUCCGGAAUUAUUGGGCGUAAAGCGCGCGCAGGUGGUUCUUUAAGUCUGAUGUGAAAGCCCCCGGGCUCAACCGGGGAGGGUCAUUGGAAACUGGGGAACUUGAGUGCAGGAGAGGAAAGUGGAAUUCCACGUGUAGCGGUGAAAUGCGUAGAUAUGUGGAGGAACACCAGUGGCGAAGGCGACUUUCUGGCCUGUAACUGACACUGAGGCGCGAAAGCGUGGGGAGCGAACAGGAUUAGAUACCCUGGUAGUCCACGCCGUAAACGAUGAGUGCUAAGUGUUGGGGGGUUUCCGCCCCUCAGUGCUGCAGCUAACGCAUUAAGCACUCCGCCUGGGGAGUACGGUCGCAAAGACUG
This 373-nucleotide ribosomal RNA is filed under the name uncultured organism. Its description in RNAcentral is "partial 16S ribosomal RNA". It matches the Rfam family "Bacterial small subunit ribosomal RNA", at positions 527 to 896 of the family's 1533-position model. The record is from RNAcentral.